AGCGAACGCUGGCGGCAGGCUUAACACAUGCAAGUCGAGCGCCCCGCAAGGGGAGCGGCAGACGGGUGAGUAACACGUGGGAACGUACCCUUUGGUUCGGAACAACCCAGGGAAACUUGGGCUAAUACCGGAUAAGUCCGCGAGGAGAAAGAUUUAUCGCCGAAGGAUCGGCCCGCGUCUGAUUAGCUAGUUGGUGUGGUAACGGCGCACCAAGGCGACGAUCAGUAGCUGGUCUGAGAGGAUGAUCAGCCACACUGGGACUGAGACACGGCCCAGACUCCUACGGGAGGCAGCAGUGGGGAAUAUUGGACAAUGGGGGCAACCCUGAUCCAGCCAUGCCGCGUGAGUGAUGAAGGCCCUAGGGUUGUAAAGCUCUUUCGGUGGGGAAGAUAAUGACGGUACCCACAGAAGAAGCCCCGGCGAACUUCGU
This 430-nucleotide ribosomal RNA is filed under the name uncultured bacterium. RNAcentral's name for it is "partial 16S ribosomal RNA". It matches the Rfam family "Bacterial small subunit ribosomal RNA", at positions 29 to 506 of the family's 1533-position model. The record is from RNAcentral.